Molecule: long non-coding RNA, 751 nt
Organism: Drosophila erecta
Lineage: Eukaryota; Metazoa; Arthropoda; Insecta; Diptera; Drosophilidae
Exons: 1
Source: RefSeq, a predicted model, not a curated record
ACAGCUUUCACUUUUUCAAAUAUAUCACAUUGCAAACAUAACCAAUAAAUCACAGGAUGUCCAUAAGUCAAACCAUCCCGCAUUCAUUCCCCUUCGACUUCGAAUCAAUUGACACCGAACACCCGAUAUCCCUCGACCUUCAACACGGGUAUCUGGAAAUAGAUAGGAAUCGCAGUUGGCCAAUUACUGUCCAGCCCCACCUCUCACGCAAUCCUGCACCACCUGAUCCAGCACCAGCACCACCAUCAACCUCACCACCACCAUCAUCACCAUCGCUAUCGCCGCACCACCCGAAUUGCUGGCUGACAUUUGGCAUCACUUGAGUGUGUGCGACCACCUGACAAAUACCUCGAAUAUCAUUCACACCGGGACUCGUGAAUCGUGAAUCGCGACUCGUAAUCUUACACUCAUCAUAUCGCCAGCCACUGAUUGGCAUUGACAGACGUCGACGCAGACGCGUCGCCGGGCAACUGCAAUUUUGUAUCUUGAUAAAUUACUUAUGACUGGCCCAGACAUUGAUGAGUACUCGGUGUACUCGCUGCCGGUACUCAGUACUCAGUACUCACUUGUUGGUUUUCCGGCGGGUAAGGGAAGGGGGAUGGGUGGAAGGAGAGGGGCGGAAAGGGGAGGCCUCGGGCACGCAGCACAAAUCACCAAGUGCGCACCUGAAAACAUUUAACGAUAAACAAACAUGGUGUGAAGUGGGCGGUAAGAGAUCGGUCUAUUGCAUACCCCUUAACAGGACUUACGA